GAUGAACGCUGGCGGCGUGCUUAACACAUGCAAGUCGAACGGUGAAGGCGGAGCUUGCUCUGCUGGAUCAGUGGCGAACGGGUGAGUAACACGUGAGCAAUCUGCCCCUGACUCUGGGAUAAGCGCUGGAAACGGCGUCUAAUACUGGAUACGAGCUGCGAAGGCAUCUUCAGCAGUUGGAAAGAAUUUCGGUCAGGGAUGAGCUCGCGGCCUAUCAGCUUGUUGGUGAGGUAAUGGCUCACCAAGGCGUCGACGGGUAGCCGGCCUGAGAGGGUGACCGGCCACACUGGGACUGAGACACGGCCCAGACUCCUACGGGAGGCAGCAGUGGGGAAUAUUGCACAAUGGGCGAAAGCCUGAUGCAGCAACGCCGCGUGAGGGACGACGGCCUUCGGGUUGUAAACCUCUUUUAGCAGGGAAGAAGCGAAAGUGACGGUACCUGCAGAAAAAGCGCCGGCUAACUACGUG
Molecule: ribosomal RNA, 468 nt
Filed under: uncultured bacterium
Lineage: Bacteria
Description: partial 16S ribosomal RNA
Rfam family: Bacterial small subunit ribosomal RNA
Source: RNAcentral